CCUACGGGUGGCAGCAGUGAGGAAUAUUGGUCAAUGGGCGAGAGCCUGAACCAGCCAAGUCGCGUGAAGGAUGACGGCCCUACGGGUUGUAAACUUCUUUUGUCGGGGAGCAAGGGCGGGGACGUGUCCCGGCCCGGAGAGUACCCGGAGACAAAGCAUCGGCUAACUCCGUGCCAGCAGCCGCGGUAAUACGGAGGAUGCGAGCGUUAUCCGGAUUUAUUGGGUUGAAAGGGUGCGUAGGCGGGCUUUUAAGUCAGCGGUAAAAAUUCGGGGCUCAACCCCGUCCGGCCGUUGAAACUGGGGGCCUUGAGUGGGCGAGAAGAAGGCGGAAUGCGUGGUGUAGCGGUGAAAUGCAUAGAUAUCACGCAGAACCCCGAUUGCGAAGGCAGCCUGCCGGCGCCCGACUGACGCUGAGGCACGAAAGUGCGGGGAUCGAACAGGAUUAGAUACCCGAGUAGUC
RNAcentral lists this ribosomal RNA (460 nucleotides) under uncultured bacterium. Its description in RNAcentral is "partial 16S ribosomal RNA". It matches the Rfam family "Bacterial small subunit ribosomal RNA", at positions 338 to 795 of the family's 1533-position model. The record is from RNAcentral.